This 327-nucleotide long non-coding RNA is filed under the name Pan troglodytes (chimpanzee). Its description in RNAcentral is "long non-coding RNA NONPTRT011367". Lineage: Eukaryota; Metazoa; Chordata; Mammalia; Primates; Hominidae. The record is from RNAcentral.
GUCCUUGUGAUAGUUUGCUGAGAAUGAUGGUUUCCAGCUUCAUCUAUGUCCCUGCAAAGGACAUGAACUCAUCUUUUUUAUGGCUGCAUAGUAUUCCAUGGUGUAUAUGUGCCACAUUUUCUUAAUCCAGUCUACCAUUGAUGGACAUUUGGGUUGGUUCCAAGUCUUUGCUAUUGUGAAAAGGUUUUAAACUGAUACCAACUUGAACUGUUUAAAGAAAGGUUGGCUGAUAAUUUGAAGGGUGAGAAUUAUGAGUAAACAUCACUAGCAAUGGAAAUAAGUUAGUAAAAUAGGCUAAAAAGGGAAGUUCACAUUCAGGCCAGUGGG